RNAcentral lists this ribosomal RNA (292 nucleotides) under uncultured bacterium. RNAcentral's name for it is "partial 16S ribosomal RNA". It matches the Rfam family "Bacterial small subunit ribosomal RNA", at positions 505 to 796 of the family's 1533-position model. The record is from RNAcentral.
GUGCCAGCAGCCGCGGUAAUACGAAGGGGGCUAGCGUUGUUCGGAAUUACUGGGCGUAAAGGGCGCGUAGGCGGUCUUGUAAGUCAGGCGUGAAAGGCCCGGGCUCAACCUGGGGACUGCGCUUGAUACUGCGAGGCUUGAAUCCGGGAGAGGAUGGCGGAAUUCCCAGUGUAGAGGUGAAAUUCGUAGAUAUUGGGAAGAACACCGGUGGCGAAGGCGGCCAUCUGGACCGGUAUUGACGCUGAGGCGCGAAAGCGUGGGGAGCAAACAGGAUUAGAAACCCUUGUAGUCC